CUUCUUGAUAUUGUUGUGUUCAGUAGAGCUUGUGCAAAUGGGGUAGCAGAGAUCCAAAGACCAGGAGCAAAGCAAAAGCCUUUAGAAAAAGAUGCUGGUUCCAGGACAAUGAGUGGUUAGAGAAGAUAAGAAAUUCAAAUGGCUCACUUCCAACCUCAAAAUUCCAGUUGAAUAUGAAACGAGUAAUGCAAACUAAUGAUGCUGUAUUCCGUACACAAAAAACUCUUGCAGAAGGAGCAAAGGAAAUUGCAGUCCUCCUACUGAUGGAAACCCCCACCAUAGUGAUUGCAAAAGAAUGAGGCAUCCAUACUAGUCAAAGACUUACAAGGUGGAGAUUUCAUGUGCUACAAAGAUCCCAAUGCAGGCCAUUGAAACAAGCUUUACGUGGUCAGGACUCUGACAACUGUCAAGAAGGCCUAAGGGUUCUAGACAUCAUCCUCUGACAGCAUGCAGCUAAACAGUAUGUUAUUGUUCCUGAUCAUGUUCAGGUUUGUUAUGAAAAAUUGAUUGUAACAAGGUGAAGUGUAGAGGCUGCCUCAUGGUGCGAAAAUCACUUUUUCACAAUGAUGUGAAUAACUGCACUGAUGUUGGUGGUGGUGUCCUUGCUUCAUCGUGUAUGUAGCACUUAUGAAUCUUGAUAUUUGAAGCACUAAUCAGUAAUCAGGCACAUAAUAUCUCUUUUACUGUGCAUACUCCUAAGUUAAGCUCAUAUAGUGAGACAUUAUAGGCCAUAAGGGGUAGAUUCAUGAGUAAUUUAAUCUAUUAUUUUUUCCUUCCUGUUGCGAGCUCGAAUGUUUAUAUUCUUUUAGCUUUUCUAAAUAAAACAUGCAUAUUUGUUUCAGGUUGGUGGAACUGUAAGGACUGUAGGAGGCGAGUUUCCAGAGCGACUUGGUCAAACAGGAUGCCAGGUUUCAAUUGCUUUGAAAUACAAGUGGUUUCAUCAUUCAUUCUUGGCGAUUACAUGCUACACUAAAUUAUUAUUAAGAUUUUUUAGUUUCACUAUCCACAUGAUGCACUUUGUUUCUCUUAUUGCAUUAUUAUUUAAGGACUGGGAAUGUAAAUCCGGUGCUACAUGGAAAGUCCAUCAUCCCAGUAAAUAUUUAUGGAUUCCCAUUUACGUUUAUUUCUCUUGUACUUGUAUAUGUAGUUUCACUAUCAUUGUAAAGGACACCCUUAUACAAGCAAUUUUAUGUGCGUCAAUUAUAAUAUCAUUCAAGCUUUGAAUAUCUCUUUUAUUCUAAUUUUUAUUUCUAAAUGAAUAUAUCCUCUUUUAUUCAAACAGGGGGAGAAAGAAUGUGCGUGCUAUAUGAAAACAGGCCACUGCAAAUUUAGUAUAACUUGCAAACACCAUCAUCCUCAGAUGCAUGGCGUAUCGGUGGCAGCACCUGCACGCCCAUCUUAUGCAGCUGUGCAGUCUUCAGUUCCUACUCCUGAACAGUAUGGAGGAGAUACAACAAACUACGGGGUUCCGAUACCUCCGCUUUUUCCGGGGUCAUAUGUAUGAGGUGGUUAUGGCCCACUGCUGCUUCCUCAAGGGUGAUGCUUGUUCCAAACUAGAGUCCUUAUACGGUAAGUUAAUUUGCUAUAAUAUUGAGGAUAUAACCCAUCUAUGGCUCUUAUUCUUAUGGUGAACGCAAAUGACUCCUGGUGU
This is a long non-coding RNA of Daucus carota subsp. sativus, 1651 nucleotides long. RefSeq lists it as uncharacterized. The transcript has 3 exons. NCBI's taxonomy places the organism in Eukaryota, Viridiplantae, Streptophyta, Magnoliopsida, Apiales, Apiaceae. The record is from RefSeq and is a predicted model, not a curated record.